This 497-nucleotide ribosomal RNA is filed under the name uncultured bacterium. RNAcentral's name for it is "partial 16S ribosomal RNA". It matches the Rfam family "Bacterial small subunit ribosomal RNA", at positions 28 to 507 of the family's 1533-position model. The record is from RNAcentral.
GAUGAACGCUGGCGGCGUGCCUAAUACAUGCAUGUCGAGCAAACAGACGAGGAGCUUGCUCCUCUGACGUUAGCGGCGGACGGGUGAGUAACACGUGGAUAACCUACCUAUAAGACUGGGAUAACUUCGGGAAACCGGAGCUAAUACCGGAUAAUAUAUUGAACCGCAUGGUUCAAUAGUGAAAGACGGUUUUGCUGUCACUUAUAGAUGGAUCCGCGCCGCAUUAGCUAGUUGGUAAGGUAACGGCUUACCAAGGCGACGAUGCGUAGCCGACCUGAGAGGGUGAUCGGCCACACUGGAACUGAGACACGGUCCAGACUCCUACGGGAGGCAGCAGUAGGGAAUCUUCCGCAAUGGGCGAAAGCUUGACGGAGCAACGCCGCGUGAGUGAUGAAGGUCUUCGGAUCGUAAAACUCUGUUAUUAGGGAAGAACAAAUGUGUAAGUAACUAUGCACGUCUUGACGGUACCUAAUCAGAAAGCCACGGCUAACUACGUG